Molecule: ribosomal RNA, 497 nt
Filed under: uncultured bacterium
Lineage: Bacteria
Description: partial 16S ribosomal RNA
Rfam family: Bacterial small subunit ribosomal RNA
Source: RNAcentral
GAUGAACGCUGGCGGCGUGCCUAAUACAUGCAAGUCGAGCGAACGGACGAGAAGCUUGCUUCUCUGAUGUUAGCGGCGGACGGGUGAGUAACACGUGGAUAACCUACCUAUAAGACUGGGAUAACUUCGGGAAACCGGAGCUAAUACCGGAUAAUAUUUUGAACCGCAUGGUUCAAAAGUGAAAGACGGUCUUGCUGUCACUUAUAGAUGGAUCCGCGCUGCAUUAGCUAGUUGGUAAGGUAGCGGCUUACCAAGGCAACGAUGCAUAGCCGACCUGAGAGGGUGAUCGGCCACACUGGAACUGAGACACGGUCCAGACUCCUACGGGACGCAGCAGUAGGGAAUCUUCCGCAAUGGGCGAAAGCCUGACGGAGCAACGCCGCGUGAGUGAUGAAGGUCUUCGGAUCGUAAAACUCUGUUAUUAGGGAAGAACAUAUGUGUAAGUAACUGUGCACAUCUUGACGGUACCUAAUCAGAAAGCCACGGCUAACUACGUG